Molecule: ribosomal RNA, 468 nt
Filed under: uncultured bacterium
Lineage: Bacteria
Description: partial 16S ribosomal RNA
Rfam family: Bacterial small subunit ribosomal RNA
Source: RNAcentral
GACGAACGCUGGCGGCGUGCUUAACACAUGCAAGUCGAACGGAAAGGCCCUGCUUUUGUGGGGUUCUCUAGUGGCGAACGGGUGAGUAACACGUGAGUAACCUGCCCUUUACUUUGGUAUAACUUCAGGAAACUGGGGCUAAUACCGGAUAGGAUCUCCUGCUGCAUGGUGGGGUUUGGAAAGUUUCGGCGGUUGGUGAUGGACUCGCUGCUUAUCAGCUUGUUGGUGGGGUAGUGGCUUACCAAGGCUUUGACGGGUAGCCGGCCUGAGAGGGUGACCGGCCAAAUGGGGAAUGAGAGACGGACCAGACGGCAACGGGAGGCAGCAGUGGGGAAUAUUGAACAAUGGGAGGAAGCCUGAUGAAGCAACGCCGCGUGCGGGAUGACGGCCUUCGGGUUGUAAACCGCUUUCGACUGUGACGAAGCGUGAGUGACGGUAAUGGGUAAAGAAGCACCGGCUAACUACGUG